UAGGGAAUCUUCGGCAAUGGACGAAAGUCUGACCGAGCAACGCCGCGUGAGUGAAGAAGGUUUUCGGAUCGUAAAACUCUGUUGUUAGAGAAGAACAAGGACGUUAGUAACUGAACGUCCCCUGACGGUAUCUAACCAGAAAGCCACGGCUAACUACGUGCCAGCAGCCGCGGUAAUACGUAGGUGGCAAGCGUUGUCCGGAUUUAUUGGGCGUAAAGCGAGCGCAGGCGGUUUCUUAAGUCUGAUGUGAAAGCCCCCGGCUCAACCGGGGAGGGUCAUUGGAAACUGGGAGACUUGGGUGCAGAAGAGGAGAGUGGAAUUCCAUGUGUAGCGGUGAAAUGCGUAGAUAUAUGGAGGAACACCAGUGGCGAAGGCGGCUGUCUGGUCUGUAACUGACGCUGAGGCUCGAAAGCGUGGGGAGCAAACAGG
Molecule: ribosomal RNA, 429 nt
Filed under: Gemmatimonadota bacterium
Lineage: Bacteria; Pseudomonadati; Gemmatimonadota
Description: Gemmatimonadetes bacterium partial 16S ribosomal RNA
Rfam family: Bacterial small subunit ribosomal RNA
Source: RNAcentral